Molecule: ribosomal RNA, 437 nt
Filed under: uncultured Clostridiales Family IV bacterium
Lineage: Bacteria; Bacillati; Bacillota; Clostridia; Eubacteriales; Eubacteriales Family IV. Incertae Sedis
Description: bacterial SSU rRNA
Rfam family: Bacterial small subunit ribosomal RNA
Source: RNAcentral
ACGGGAGGCAGCAGUGGGGGAUAUUGCACAAUGGAGGAAACUCUGAUGCAGCAACGCCGCGUGAGGGAAGACGGUCUUCGGAUUGUAAACCUAAGUAGUCAGGGACGAAAGAAAUGACGGUACCUGAAGAGUAAGCUCCGGCUAACUACGUGCCAGCAGCCGCGGUAAUACGUAGGGAGCGAGCGUUGUCCGGAUUUACUGGGUGUAAAGGGUGCGUAGGCGGGUUUGCAAGUCAGGCGUGAAAUACCGAGGCUUAACUUCGGAGCUGCGCUUGAAACUGUAGAUCUUGAGUGAAGUAGAGGUAAGCGGAAUUCCUAGUGUAGCGGUGAAAUGCGUAGAUAUUAGGAGGAACACCAGUGGCGAAGGCGGCUUACUGGGCUUUAACUGACGCUGAGGCACGAAAGUAUGGGGAGCAAACAGGAUUAGAUACCCUGGUA